Molecule: ribosomal RNA, 490 nt
Filed under: uncultured bacterium
Lineage: Bacteria
Description: partial 16S ribosomal RNA
Rfam family: Bacterial small subunit ribosomal RNA
Source: RNAcentral
GAUGAACGCUAGCGAUAGGCUUAACACAUGCAAGUCGAGGGGCAGCAUGGUCUUAGCUUGCUAAUACUGAUGGCGACCGGCGCACGGGUGCGUAACGCGUAUGCAACUUGCCUCACAGAGGGGGAUAACCCGUCGAAAGACGGACUAAUACCGCGUACACUUGGGAUAGGGCAUCCUGACCCAAGGAAAUGAAAUUCGCUGUGAGAUAGGCAUGCGUCCCAUUAGCUAGUUGGUGAGGUAACGGCUCACCAAGGCGACGAUGGGUAGGGGAACUGAGAGGUUGCACCACCAGACUGGUACUGAGACACGGACCAGACUCCUACGGGAGGCAGCAGUGAGGAAGAUUGGUCAAUGGGCGAGAGCCUGAACCAGCCAAGUCGCGUGAAGGAUGACUGUCUUAGGGAUUGUAUACUUCUUUUAUACGGGAAUAACAAGAGUCACGUGUGGCUCCCUGCAUGUACCGUAUGAAUAAGCACCGGCUAACUCCGUG